RNAcentral lists this ribosomal RNA (253 nucleotides) under uncultured bacterium. RNAcentral's name for it is "partial 16S ribosomal RNA". It matches the Rfam family "Bacterial small subunit ribosomal RNA", at positions 524 to 776 of the family's 1533-position model. The record is from RNAcentral.
UACAGAGGGUGCGAGCGUUAAUCGGAUUUACUGGGCGUAAAGGGCGCGUAGGCGGUUGUAUGAGUGUGAUGUGAAAGCCCCGGGCUCAACCUGGGAAGUGCAUCGCAAACGAUACGACUGGAGUAUAUGAGAGGGUGGCGGAAUUUCCGGUGUAGCGGUGAAAUGCGUAGAUAUCGGAAGGAACGUCGAUGGCGAAGGCAGCCACCUGGCAUAAUACUGACGCUGAGGCGCGAAAGCGUGGGGAGCGAACAGG